GAUCGAAAUUCUAACAUUCGUAAAUUCUAACAUUCGUAAACCUGGAAAUUUGAAAAUUCAGAAAUUUGAAAGAAUGAAAAUUCAAUAUAAUAGUUCUUUUGGAGCAAACUUCAUGAGAUUAGACACAACUGCAGAUCCGACCAAGACAGAGUGGCCGAAUGAACGUUUCUCAACUACGAAAAUACUCAGUGGUGGAUGGAGGUUUCCAAACACAACCCUAACGAAUGGAUCGGACAAGCCAUUGUCAUCGGCAGGUAGUAUUCCCCGAGCCUGGUAAACGUGAGCCCUCAGCUGAAAAUAGCGGUAAUCUACAGAGAUCAAGAGGAGAGGACAUGUUCACUAUAUACUGUUAGUUAUACCUCUAACACCUGGCAAGAUUCUAGAAGAUAUUAGGGUACCUUUACCCAAGAUGGGUAUUAUUAAAAUGUUGGUUCAUA
Long non-coding RNA from Rana temporaria (common frog), 437 nucleotides. RefSeq lists it as uncharacterized. NCBI's taxonomy places the organism in Eukaryota, Metazoa, Chordata, Amphibia, Anura, Ranidae. The transcript has 3 exons. The record is from RefSeq and is a predicted model, not a curated record.